GUAUGUGGCACAAUGGUACAGUACUUGCUUAGCAUGCAUGAGGCCCUGGGUUCCAUCCCUAGCACAAAAUACA
This 73-nucleotide transfer RNA is filed under the name Marmota monax (woodchuck). RNAcentral describes it as "tRNA.Ala". The record is from RNAcentral. Lineage: Eukaryota; Metazoa; Chordata; Mammalia; Rodentia; Sciuridae.